GACGAACGCUGGCGGCGCGCUUAACACAUGCAAGUCGUGCGGUGUCGAAGGCAAGUCUUACGACAAGCCUUCGACACAGCGGCGAACGGGUGAGUAACACGUGAGUAGCUGUCCUAAGGAGGGGGAUAACGCCUGGAAACGGGUGCUAACACCCCAUAUGCCUCGCAAGAGGUGAAAGUGUACUUGCUACAGCCUUAGGGUGUGCUCGCGGCCUAUCAGCUAGUUGGUGAGGUAACGGCUCACCAAGGCUAAGACGGGUAGCCGGCCUGAGAGGGUGUACGGCCACACUGGAAUUGAGAUACGGUCCAGACUCCUACGGGAGGCAGCAGUGGGGAAUCUUGGGCAAUGGGCGAAAGCCUGACCCAGCGACGCCGCGUUGGGGAUGAAGCCCUUCGGGGCGUAAACCCAUGUUGUAGGGGACGAAGAAAGUGACGGUACCUACGAGAAAGCCCCGGCAACUACGUG
RNAcentral lists this ribosomal RNA (465 nucleotides) under uncultured bacterium. RNAcentral's name for it is "bacterial SSU rRNA". It matches the Rfam family "Bacterial small subunit ribosomal RNA", at positions 28 to 507 of the family's 1533-position model. The record is from RNAcentral.